RNAcentral lists this ribosomal RNA (505 nucleotides) under uncultured microorganism. Its description in RNAcentral is "bacterial SSU rRNA". It matches the Rfam family "Bacterial small subunit ribosomal RNA", at positions 9 to 514 of the family's 1533-position model. The record is from RNAcentral.
GAGUUUGAUCGUGGCUCAGGAUGAACGCUGGCGGCGUGCCUAACACAUGCAAGUCGAGCGAAGCACUUUAAUUCGAUUCUUCGGAUGAAGAUUUUUGUGACUGAGCGGCGGACGGGUGAGUAACGCGUGGGGCAACCUGCCUUACACAGGGGGAUAACAGUUAGAAAUGACUGCUAAUACCGCAUAAGACCGCAGUACCGCAUGGUACAGCGGUAAAAACUCCGGUGGUGUAAGAUGGGCCCGCGUCUGAUUAGGUAGUUGGCGGGGUAACGGCCCACCAAGCCGACGAUCAGUAGCCGACCUGAGAGGGUGACCGGCCACAUUGGGACUGAGACACGGCCCAGACUCCUACGGGAGGCAGCAGUGGGGAAUAUUGCACAAUGGGGAAACCCUGAUGCAGCGACGCCGCGUGAGCGAUGAAGUAUUUCGGUAUGUAAAGCUCUAUCAGCAGGGAAGAAAAUGACGGUACCUGACUAAGAAGCCCCGGCUAACUACGUGCCAGCCG